UACGAACCGUGCGAACGUUAUUCGGAAUCACUGGGCUUAAAGGGCGCGUAGGCGGGCCGCCAGGUCCGGGGUGAAAGCCUCCAGCUCAACUGGAGGAGUGCCUUGGAUACCGGCGGCCUCGAGGGAGGCAGGGGCGUGCGGAACUUCGGGUGGAGCGGUGAAAUGCGUAGAUAUCCGAAGGAACACCGGUGGCGAAAGCGGCGCGCUGGACCUCUUCUGACGCUGAGGCGCGAAAGCCAGGGGAGCAAACGGG
Molecule: ribosomal RNA, 253 nt
Filed under: uncultured bacterium
Lineage: Bacteria
Description: partial 16S ribosomal RNA
Rfam family: Bacterial small subunit ribosomal RNA
Source: RNAcentral